UACCAAGGCUUGACAUAGACAGGAAUAUGGCAGAAAUGUCAUAGCCGCAAGGUCUGUAUACAGGUGGUGCAUGGUUUGUCGUCAGCUCGUGUCGUGAGAUGUUGGGUUAAGUCCCGCAACGAGCGCAACCCUCGUUCUAUGUUGCCAGCGGUUCGGCCGGGGACUCAUAGGAGACUGCCGUGGUCAACACGGAGGAAGGUGGGGAUGACGUCAAAUCAUCAUGCCCCUUAUGUCUAGGGCUGCACGCGUGCUGCAAUGGCUGGUACAAAGGGCUGCGAUACCGCAAGGUGGAGCGAAUCCCAAAAAGCCAGUCUCAGUUCGGAUUGGGGUCUGCAACUCGACCCCAUGAAGUUGGAGUCGCUAGUAAUCGCAGAUCAGCAAUGCUGCGGUAAAUACGUUCCCGGGCCUUGUACACACCGCCCGUCACGUCACGAAAGUCGGUAACACCCGAAGCCGGUGGCCUAACCGUAAG
Molecule: ribosomal RNA, 472 nt
Filed under: uncultured Actinomycetes bacterium
Lineage: Bacteria; Bacillati; Actinomycetota; Actinomycetes
Description: bacterial SSU rRNA
Rfam family: Bacterial small subunit ribosomal RNA
Source: RNAcentral